AAGACCUUGCGCUUUUGGAGCGGCCGAUGUCUGAUUAGCUUGUUGGUAAGGUAAAAGCUUACCAAGGCUUCGAUCAGUAGCUGGUCUGAGAGGACGACCAGCCACACUGGGACUGAGACACGGCCCAGACUCCUACGGGAGGCAGCAGUGGGGAAUUUUGGACAAUGGGGGCAACCCUGAUCCAGCCAUGCCGCGUGAGUGAAGAAGGCCUUCGGGUUGUAAAGCUCUUUCAGCCGGAACGAAACGGUUACGGUUAAUACCCGUGACUACUGACGGUACCGGAAGCAGAAGCACCGGCUAACUACGUGCCAGCAGCCGCGGUAAUACGUAGGGUGCAAGCGUUAAUCGGAAUUACUGGGCGUAAAGCGUGCGCAGGUGGUUUUGUAAGUCAGAUGUGAAAUCCCCGGGCUUAACCUGGGAACU
This 423-nucleotide ribosomal RNA is filed under the name uncultured bacterium. RNAcentral describes it as "bacterial SSU rRNA". It matches the Rfam family "Bacterial small subunit ribosomal RNA", at positions 207 to 622 of the family's 1533-position model. The record is from RNAcentral.